Molecule: long non-coding RNA, 378 nt
Filed under: Physcomitrium patens
Lineage: Eukaryota; Viridiplantae; Streptophyta; Bryopsida; Funariales; Funariaceae
Description: long non-coding RNA (PPAT_LNC008707)
Source: RNAcentral
UUUGAUCUGCAAAAGAGUCCUUGAAUUGCCAUAGGUAUUCGGUUUUGUGCCUUAGGGUCUGAUUUCAACCUAGAUUGCUAACUGGCCCUCCUCGGAUAUCCAUAUGUAGUUUUUCUAGGUAAUUUUUGCUAGAAUUUACUCUUAACUUCCUCCUAAAGAUGUGUAUAUCAUUCAAUUUUCCAAUCUACCUUAUUUUGCCUUAUUUUUGGCCCUACAAAGUAAGUAAAAGCUAUUUUUUCUAAAAAGGCAGCAUUACUACUAAAAGUUUUACUACCUUCCUAUCUUUUAUCCAUAUUUUUCUACUUUUUCUUUUAACUUGGCUCUUUUAUAAUAAGUUUCAUAUUAUUAUCUUUCACCAUAUAAUCAUGUUAUAAUAUG